GUCCUUUAGAUGUUAAUUUAAGGUCUAGCCUGCCCACUGAAUUAAUUUUAAAUGGCCGCAGUAAUUUGACUGUGCAAAGGUAGCAUAAUCAUUAGUUUUUUAAUUAAAAGCUUGUAUGAAAGGUUGGACGAAGUAAAAUCUGUCUCUAAUUAAUUUAAUUUAGAAUUUAACUUUUAAGUCAAAAGGCUUAAAUAUAUUUAAAAGACGAGAAGACCCUAUAGAUCUUUAUAAUUUUAUUUAUUAAAUUUAAUUAUGAAUUUUUAAAAUUUUAUUAAAAAAAUUAUUUUAUUGGGGUAAUAUAAAGAUUAAAAUAAUUCUUUUUUUUUAUUAACAUUAAUUUAUGAUUUUUAUGAUCCAAUUAUAUUGAUUAGAAGAUUAAGUUACCUUAGGGAUAACAGCGUAAUUUUUUUAGAGAGUUCUUAUCGAUAAAAAAGUUUGCGACCUCGAUGUUGGAUUAAAGAUUAUUUUAGGUGCAGAAGUUUAAAAAUUUGGUCUGUUCGACCAUUAAAUCUUUACAUGAUCUGAGUUCAGACCGGUGUAAGCCAGGUCGGUUUCUAUCUUUAGAAAAUUAAAAUAUUUUAGUACGAAAGGACCAAUUAUUUAAUAUAUUAAUAUUUAUAUUUUGAUUAUUAUUA
RNAcentral lists this ribosomal RNA (635 nucleotides) under Nebria ingens. RNAcentral's name for it is "partial large subunit ribosomal RNA". The stretch from base 391 to 549 matches the Rfam family "Bacterial large subunit ribosomal RNA", at positions 2473 to 2632 of the family's 2925-position model. Lineage: Eukaryota; Metazoa; Arthropoda; Insecta; Coleoptera; Carabidae. The record is from RNAcentral. RNAcentral also lists the same sequence under 1 other name.